Molecule: ribosomal RNA, 507 nt
Filed under: Listeria monocytogenes
Lineage: Bacteria; Bacillati; Bacillota; Bacilli; Caryophanales; Listeriaceae
Description: bacterial SSU rRNA
Rfam family: Bacterial small subunit ribosomal RNA
Source: RNAcentral
GACAAAGUGACAGGUGGUGCAUGGUUGUCGUCAGCUCGUGUCGUGAGAUGUUGGGUUAAGUCCCGCAACGAGCGCAACCCUUGAUUUUAGUUGCCAGCAUUUAGUUGGGCACUCUAAAGUGACUGCCGGUGCAAGCCGGAGGAAGGUGGGGAUGACGUCAAAUCAUCAUGCCCCUUAUGACCUGGGCUACACACGUGCUACAAUGGAUAGUACAAAGGGUCGCGAAGCCGCGAGGUGGAGCUAAUCCCAUAAAACUAUUCUCAGUUCGGAUUGUAGGCUGCAACUCGCCUACAUGAAGCCGGAAUCGCUAGUAAUCGUGGAUCAGCAUGCCACGGUGAAUACGUUCCCGGGCCUUGUACACACCGCCCGUCACACCACGAGAGUUUGUAACACCCGAAGUCGGUAGGGUAACCUUUAUGGAGCCAGCCGCCGAAGGUGGGACAGAUAAUUGGGGUGAAGUCGUAACAAGGUAGCCGUAUCGGAAGGUGCGGCUGGAUCACCUCCUUU